This 468-nucleotide ribosomal RNA is filed under the name uncultured bacterium. RNAcentral describes it as "partial 16S ribosomal RNA". It matches the Rfam family "Bacterial small subunit ribosomal RNA", at positions 28 to 507 of the family's 1533-position model. The record is from RNAcentral.
GACGAACGCUGGCGGCGCGCUUAACACAUGCAAGUCGAACGGAAAGGCCCUGCUUUUGUGGGGUGCUCGAGUGGCGAACGGGUGAGUAACACGUGAGUAACCUGCCCUUGAAUAUGGGAUAACUUCAGGAAACUGGGGCAAAUACCGGAUAGGAGCUCCUGCUGAAUGGUGGGGGUUGGAAAGAUUCGGCGGUUGGGGAUGGACUCGCGGCGUAUCAGCCUGUUGGUGGGGUAGUGGCUUACAAAGGUUUUAACGGGUAGCAGGACUGAUAGGGUGACCGUCAACAUUGGGACUGAUAGACGUCCGAGACUCCUACGGAAGGCAGCAGUGGAGAAUAUUGCACAAUGGGCGGAAGCCUGAUGCAGCAACGCCGCGUGCGGGAUGACGGCCUUCUAGUUGUAUACCGCUUUCGCCUGUAUCGAAGCGUGAGUGACGUUAAUGGGUAAAGAAGCACCGGCUAAGUACGUG